UUCAUAUCGCAUCUUAGAACUACCAACUUGGACAUUGAUUUUAUUUGCUCUAUCAUAUCCUUUGGUUCUGAGUCCCCGCCUUCAAACCUCUCCUUCAACUAUGUCUUCUUAUUUGCUUGAGGGCAAGCAAAGACUAAGUUUGGGGGAGUUUAUAUGUCUAUAAUUUGCAUGUUUUCAGUGUCCAUUCAUCAUCGUUUUGAGUCCAGUUUCGUAUCAUUCAUCACUGUUUUAUAUCAUUUCUCAUCAUUCUUGCAUACUUUGCAUGAUUAGGAUAACUUUGCAUACAUAUUGCAUUUCUGAGUUGUUUUCAGGUGAUUUGGAGCUGUUUGCGAGCAAAUUGGAAGAAACGAGUCAGAACUAGAAGAUAUACUCGACCACCUGGUCGUGUGCAUCCAGCACCAUACUCGACCUCUUGGUCGAGUGACUUUGGAGCCAUUCUUCCCUUCUACUCGACCCCCUGGUCGAGUGACUUUGGAGCCAUUUUUCCCUUCUACUCGACCCCCUGGUCGAGUAACCUCAGCCCAAGCCACUCGAUGACGUUACUCGACCCCCUGGACGAGUAUCACUUCGCCACACCACCUGACAACACUUGGCCAUUCACUCUACCACAUUACUCGACCCCUUGGUCGAGUAUCACUUCGCCACACCACUUGACCACACUCGACCAUUCACUCUAUCAUUCUAUGGGCCGGGCGAUUAGGUUAUUGGCCCGUCUACUAUCAUUUUAUUUCGUUUUGUAUAAAUAGAUGUCUUAGGGUUCUGUCUGGAGACAUCUAGUCGACAUUGAGUUUUUGCUUCAGUUUUAUUUUUUGUUUUACUCUGCUACGCCGCUUUUGCUUCUACAACCUGUAAUUCGAGAUUUUUCCAAGUUAUUCAGAUUCCACAUUUGAUUUCAUCUGUCAUCCUGUUUCUCUACUAUUUAUCUCUUUACUUAUGCAAUAUUAUCAUUUAUCUGCGUUUAUGUCUUUGAGCAUGUUGUUUGAGUAGUGACUUAGAAUUCUUAGGGAUGGGAUAAAGUAGUUGUGGAAUCCGUACUCUGUAGAAUGGUUAAGUUUUAGAAUUGAUUGAAUCCCUUUACGACUAGUUGCGUUUACUGCUUAUUUCUUUCUGAUCAACUGGAAUUCGAUCCCAAGCAUUCCCGCACCCAGAAGGUGUUCGAUGGAAUGCUUGAUCCACUAGUUUCUAAGAUAUGCGUCUCUAUCCCAAUGGAUUGGCCGUCUAUGGUCAAAAUGUGUAACAAUCUAAAGGCUUUGACUAAUUCGAACACUACAAGAAUAUUGGGUUUUAAUAGCACUAUAAUAUAGCGUUUAUCUCAGUAAUGCUAUUGUUAUGUAACCACUUUAUUUUAAAUAGCGUUUGUGUAUAAUGAAACGCUAUGAUAUAAUAAACUUUAAGUCACGUGUUUAUUAAUCAGGUUUUCAAUAGCAGAAAUUAUUAAGAACGCUAUGUUAAAGUUAGGCGGUAACCUAAAAAAU
Molecule: small RNA, 1475 nt
Filed under: Arabidopsis thaliana (thale cress)
Lineage: Eukaryota; Viridiplantae; Streptophyta; Magnoliopsida; Brassicales; Brassicaceae
Description: ATSL035590
Source: RNAcentral